GGGGCUGUAGCUCAGUGGUAGAGCGUCUGCUUUGCAUGCAGAAGGCCCAGGGUUCAAACCCCUGCUGCUCCA
Non-coding RNA from Blastocladiella emersonii ATCC 22665, 72 nucleotides. NCBI's taxonomy places the organism in Eukaryota, Fungi, Blastocladiomycota, Blastocladiomycetes, Blastocladiales, Blastocladiaceae. The record is from the annotation of a GenBank genome assembly.